AGUAGGGAAUCUUCCGCAAUGGACGCAAGUCUGACGGAGCAACGCCGCGUGAGUGAUGAAGGUUUUCGGAUCGUAAAGCUCUGUUGCCAGGGACGAAAAGCUAGGAGAGUAACUGCUCUURGUCUGACGGUACCUGAGAAGAAAGCCCCGGCUAACUACGUGCCAGCAGCCGCGGUAAUACGUAGGGGGCAAGCGUUGUCCGGAAUUAUUGGGCGUAAAGCGCGCGCAGGCGGUCAUUUAAGUUUGGUGUAUAAUCCCGGGGCUCAACCCCGGGUCGCAUCGAAAACUGGGUGACUUGAGUGCGGGAGAGGAAAGUGGAAUUCCACGUGUAGCGGUGAAAUGCGUAGAUAUGUGGAGGAACACCAGUGGCGAAGGCGACUUUCUGGACCGUAACUGACGCUGAGGCGCGAAAGCGUGGGGAGCAAACAGGAUUAGAUACCCUGGUAGUCCACGCCGUAAACGAUGAGUGCUAGGUGUCGGGGGUUUCAAUACCCACGGUGCCGAAGUUAACACAGUAAGCACUCCGCCUGGGGAGUACGCUCGCAAGAGUGAAACUCAAAGAAAAUUGACGG
This 572-nucleotide ribosomal RNA is filed under the name uncultured bacterium. Its description in RNAcentral is "bacterial SSU rRNA". It matches the Rfam family "Bacterial small subunit ribosomal RNA", at positions 353 to 916 of the family's 1533-position model. The record is from RNAcentral.